AAAAGAAAGAGGUUACUGAUUUCUCUACAUUCGUCUAGUCCUUACAACUCUGAGCCUUCUAACUGCUUUCCAAAACAAAUAAAGAAACUGGAGCAGAAAAUCAGUCACAUUAAAUUUACCACCAUUCAAAAAGCCAAGGCACUGAAAAUGCUUGGAUAUCAUACAGAUAGUUUCAUUAUCUUCUUUUUAGAGGCACUCUGAAUGUGAAUUGCAUCUGAGUCAGUCUAUCCUUCCAGGAAUUGAAUUAGUUUUCCUCACACUCUCAGAGGAGGCAAUGCAUAACACAAGUUACA
RNAcentral lists this long non-coding RNA (293 nucleotides) under Homo sapiens (human). RNAcentral describes it as "HSALNT0373826". The record is from RNAcentral. Lineage: Eukaryota; Metazoa; Chordata; Mammalia; Primates; Hominidae.